CGCUGGUAACUGGAAAGGUCGCCAUGGAAACCAGUUGCGAGGAUGAUGCAAAAAUGCAGCUGAAAUGCACAACUUCUUUAAAAAAGGAAGCUCCCCACAGAAUUUAGUUGUGUUACUGUGCAUCUGUCUAGAUAUGGCCCGGUCCAGGGUGGUUGACCCCUGGAGGACGCUUCCUGGAAGGACUUCUGCUGUCUGCUGUGGUAGAAUCUUUCGUGGUUGUGCCUGUAGGAGAACACAACUGGAUGGCUUUGAAGAGGAGGAGACUGAAGAAAGAGAUUUGCCCCGUGCGAAAGCAGCUUUAUCAGAAGCUCCUCCAAACUUGUCUUCAUGAUGCAGAAGAAAAGAGAGACUCCAGCUCGUUCUCCCAAAGUUGUGCUGGCUCCCCUGCCCGAGCUCGAUUCGGUACGUCCUGUGAAUCACCCUGCCGUAGCAGGCUUACUGCUGGCCACCGCCAAGUCUCCUUGAGUCAUCUGCCGAGUCGCCAGCCCUGACCUUCCUCCGGCCAGAGGGGUAAGUCCCUUGGACUCCGCGCCUCACCGGUCGGAUCUGGAGGGAGGGAGCGUGCCAGCUACGCGCCGUGGCCUCCGCAGUGCCUCUGCACGAGGAGCCGGCUUCCUGCGGCACUGCGCGCAGAUUUGAGUAGUCAUUUUAACAGGAGGUUGGGUGAAAUUUGGUCUAAGGAGACCUUUUUUUUGCGGGACUAACAGGGCACGAGUUUUUAUGAACGGCAUAGGGGUGUUUUGCUACGUUACAGAAGGGCCCAUGACGGGCUAAGAGCGAUGGUGUUUGCGCCGGUGGAAGCCCCAAAGCGUGGGUGCCCGGGACCUUCCUGAAAACACCUCCUGGGCUUGUGUACUCCACGUGCUGGUUGCCUCCCUCACGACUGCGAAGAACGAGUGCCUGGGAGGACGGGAGCGCCCUGACAAUAGAUACCGAGGGGCUCUCCCUCUCUUUAAUUCCAGGGUUGUGAGUGAUUCCCCCCUCCCUGCCUCACACGUGCUGCUCUUGGCUUGCGCCGGGCCGCAGAGAUCGGGCUCAGCUGCCAAGCUGCAGACCACGGUCGGGUGCCACAGCUUCUGUAGGCUUUUGUCAGCAGAGCUAUCAAGUGAUCGAGGCUGUAGGCAGGGGGAAGAACGCCUGUUCCUUUGCACAAAACAGCCUUUUAUAAGCUGCUCUGGAUAACCCCCAGCCGUUGCCAUCCCCGGCCACGUAAUCCAUGAUCAACAGAUACGCUCGGGUUCCCCUGUGCCAGCGGGAAGCGGAGAGACUUCUGCCUUCACCUCACGCCGAGACCGUGCGAGGUAGCUCUCACUGGUUGAAAAAGUGGAGGAAUGGGGAAAAAUGUCACAUAACGGAGUCAGGGUGAAGCUACGCUGGGAUUGAUGGGCUGCUGGGGGAAGACUGGAGCCUGUUGCCUGCCCUGGGUUUCCUCUGGCUCACGGUCCCAUCCCAGCCCUUGGCUCACCCCUCGGCAGCAAUCCUGCCCACCAACUACCCUUUCUUGGAAAGAUGUUCACCUCCUCCCUCUGGACCUUGCUGCUGAUGGUUUCCUGAUGGCUGAAAGCCCUGUGGUGCAUUUGAAUCUCUCCCGGUUGUGUGCCAGGCUGCUGAUUUACAGCUUCCACCCAGCUGCCUGCAUCCGAAAAGGGACAGCAAUGCCCUCUGUUUUUCACCACGCUUCCACAGGUUUAUUCUUUGGAGUAACUUUUUUUUUUUGUGUUGUUUGUUUGUUUGUUUGUUUUGGGUUUUUGUUUUUUUUUUACAGCGUUUGUCCUCUCAUGGAAGUGGUGGCACUUGCACAGCCCCUCCACGGUGAGCUUUAGCAGGAGUCCAUCUUCAAGCUUCAGGGCGUCCUUCCUCGUGCUCUGCAGAGCUUGACCCAGAAAAGGUGGAAGAUGCUUGAGAGAGAUUAUGCUGAGAGCGAGGUGUUUCUAAAUGGUAUUAACCCCCUCACACCCCACGAAAAAUGCUGUGUCUGAAACUAAUGGGGGCUUGAAGGUGCUGCCGAGCUGGGGAAGACUCGCUAACCCUGUCCAGAUGUUUGCAUCUGCUGAUACCAGGACCUCAAUCUGCAUUUGAGUGCCAGGAGAGCUCUGACCGUGCUGUUUCAUGCUGAGAAACCCCCCAAAAAUCCCCCUGUCCUUGGGGAUCACCUUGGGCAGGCAGCCCUGGAGCAUCUGCCCCCAGUUUUAGAGUAAAAUUCGCAAAGCUUGAAUUU
Molecule: long non-coding RNA, 2218 nt
Organism: Tyto alba (common barn owl)
Lineage: Eukaryota; Metazoa; Chordata; Aves; Strigiformes; Tytonidae
Exons: 2
Source: RefSeq, a predicted model, not a curated record